Long non-coding RNA from Prionailurus viverrinus (fishing cat), 424 nucleotides. RefSeq lists it as uncharacterized. The transcript has 2 exons. The record is from RefSeq and is a predicted model, not a curated record. NCBI's taxonomy places the organism in Eukaryota, Metazoa, Chordata, Mammalia, Carnivora, Felidae.
GUGUCCAUGAGCGCCCGGGCCAGCUCCAUGUGGUCAGCGGGCAGGCCGUGGUGGGCGCCCAGAGCCAGCGUCCCUGGCAGGAAGCACACCAGGUGGUCCUGAAACCAGAGCGGUUUCCUCACCACUACUCGCGAAGCCAUCGGGGGCCCAGAAAAACGGGUGGGUGCCGCCCCCUACGCCCCACCUGCAUCACGACCGUGCUCACCAUCUUGGCGCUGAAGCGGCCGUGGGCCAGCUCCCCCACAAAGGUGAGCUUCCUGGGCUCAGACCUGCGCAGCAGGUGCCUUUUGAUUCCCUCGACGGCUUCGAGGUAGUCUUCCAGUAACCUGUGAACCGGCAGGCCCCGUGGGCUCAGGCCAGGUGGGUGCGCGGCCCGACCCCCGCCCGGUUACCCAGGAGCGGGCACGUGGCCACGAGCUGCCAU